AUGGCCUGGCUGACGUGGCGACGGGCCCACGUGCCUGUGGGCUCGGUCUCCCUAGAAGGACAAAAAGGCAGGCAACCACACAACAUGGCCUGCUUGCCUGGGCCUGCCUGGUGUUACGCACCCAGCUCAUGCACAAAACACUGCCUUCGUUCUCCUGUAAAGAGAAAAAAGGAAAAUCUGUUAAAAAUGGAUAGCUCACUGCCAUUUCCAACAGAAAUUAUCAAGAUUGCUCUCCACUGCAUUGGACUCUCCUAUGCCAAUUUUACCAGAGAAAAUUCCUUAAGAAAUCAGUGGAUCACUAUUGUAGGCGGGAGCUUUCAUCACCAUAUUGAGUAAGCAACAAUGUUCAUGUCAAUCUCCUGCCUUUGGAUCAUGGUAAGGACUGUGCGUGUCAUCACAACGGCUGCGUUUGCACAAUGCCUUAAGACACUGUUGCUGAUGCAUGUGGAAAGUACAAAGCAGUCCCCGGAAGGCACUGCGCCCCAUUGUCCCGCACUUCUUGUUUCCAGUCUUUAUCAGGUGGUGAUAACAGGAAAUAUUUGUUUCUCUGCGAACUUUUUUGGUUCCAGUUCUCCUGUGAUUUAUAUAGGGUGUAAGUGAUAAACGUAUCUCCAUCAACGCCCAGAGAUUUAUAAGAGUUUUGAAUUAAUAGGCUGAGAGAAUAUAAAUCUUCUGGAUUAAAUUCAUAUAAUCUCUACCUUACAAAGCUGAUUUUUUUUAAUUAUUCUCUCUGGAGAGAAUAGAUUAACAGUAUGACACCAAAGUUUGACAUACCCUUAUCUUACAGGAAGAAGGCAUGUGCAGAAUAAGGAUGGAUUGCCUUAGUCCUUCACCAUUAAGAGAAACAAACUAGUCUCAUGCAGUUUGGGAUGUAUGGGCAUCUCUCCCUUGCUCCUGCUGUCUUCUCAGUCUCCUCUGCCAUCUCCAGCAGGAAAGACCAUAAAAGCCUACACGCUCAGCAGGAAAUAAGACUCAAAGGCGUUUCCUACGCGCCUUCAUGUUACCCUUUCCUCUGCUCCCAAAAAACAGCAAUUGUUUAGCUUUUUUCUACUGCUGUGAUUCAACUUAGAGAUGAGUGCGUUUCAGGUCAAUAUCUGUAUACAGGACAAGAUCCCUCACUUUAUAUGGGGAAAAAGUCCUGGAAGAGGGAAUUAAAAGGUUCUCUGAGGUUUCCUGUACAGCAGUUUUCCUGGGUGGUCUUUCUGAAGAGAGGUGAUAGGGGGACCAGGUAAUUUGGAGGCUGCAACCAUCUCCUUCUCUUGCAAAGCACAGGACUCACUAGGAUGUGGAAAACUUUUCCUAAUCAAGCCAAGCAUCAUCUUCUAGGUAUAGCUCU
Molecule: long non-coding RNA, 1336 nt
Filed under: Anser brachyrhynchus (Pink-footed goose)
Lineage: Eukaryota; Metazoa; Chordata; Aves; Anseriformes; Anatidae
Description: lncRNA (ENSABRG00000004786.1)
Source: RNAcentral